Molecule: non-coding RNA, 315 nt
Organism: Candidatus Wolfebacteria bacterium CG1_02_39_135
Lineage: Bacteria; Candidatus Wolfeibacteriota
Source: Rfam
GGGGAUGUAAGGCUUCGACAAAAGUUCUUUUCAAAAAAUAGCAGGUUGAGCUGAUUAUCUCAUUAAACUAAUUAAAAACAUAUAACUGCCAACAAAAACUUGGCUCCCGCUUUCGCUUUUGCUUAAGCGGCAUCGGCGGCUGAUGUCUAAUAAGUCAUCACCGGUGUUAUAAAUUAGACUCGCCGAGCACAUAAGCUCUUUUAUAUACUCGGUUAAAUCAAUAAGAGCAAAAAUCGUCCCGCUUAGCGGGAAUAAACCUGUAGAGGUUUUUUGAAAAAUAUUUUGGACGGGGUUUCAAUGCCCCCAUCUCCACCA